GUAGGGAAUAUUGGGCAAUGGAUGCAAGUCUGACCCAGCCAUCCCGCGUGCCGGAAGAAGGCCCUCAGGGUUGUAAACGGCUUUUGACGGUGAAGAAUCGACAGGAUGCGUCCUGUUUUGACGGUAGCCGUUGAAUAAGCACCGGCUAACUCCGUGCCAGCAGCCACGGUAAUACGGAGGGUGCGAGCGUUGUCCGGAUUUAUUGGGUUUAAAGGGUGCGUAGGCUGGAAGGUCAGUCAGCGGUGAAAAGCUGUCGCUUAACGAUAGUCUUGCCGCAGAUACUUCCUUUCUUGGAUGAGGAGGAGGCCACUGGAACGGAUGGUGUAGCGGUGAAAUGCAUAGAUAUCAUCCAGAACACCGAUUGCGAAGGCAGGUGGCUGUACCUUAAUCGACGCUGAUGCACGAAAGCAUGGGGAGCAAACAGGAUUAGAUACCCUUGUAGUCC
RNAcentral lists this ribosomal RNA (445 nucleotides) under uncultured bacterium. RNAcentral describes it as "partial 16S ribosomal RNA". It matches the Rfam family "Bacterial small subunit ribosomal RNA", at positions 354 to 796 of the family's 1533-position model. The record is from RNAcentral.